AUGGGAGGAAACAACAAUCAAAGGAAGUCAAAGUCAUCAUGGUCUGUUUUCAACAUUUUCAAAUCUAGUAGCAACAAGCAAAGAGGAGGAGGAGGAUACUAUGAUCAUGGUGCUUAUGAUAACAAAGUGUGGCCAAGUGAUGAAGACAGAGGUAGUUGGGGUGUGGCUGAUCCUGUCAUUGACAUGAAAGCUACAGCUUUCAUUGCUCAAUACAAGAAACGAAUUUCUGAAUCUGAAAUUCAUUGGCAAGCUCAACCUGAGCAGUAG
Molecule: long non-coding RNA, 267 nt
Filed under: Vicia faba (fava bean)
Lineage: Eukaryota; Viridiplantae; Streptophyta; Magnoliopsida; Fabales; Fabaceae
Source: RNAcentral